ACUAAUGUGUGCAGCCUUUUGGCUUAGAUCAAGUGUAGUAUCUGUUCUUUUCAGUUUAAUCUCUGAAAUGUUCCCACUGGGAACACAUUGAUUAUACUACUUUUUGAACCGAGCCUGGUCAUCUCUAGCUUGCUAUGUGGCCGGCACAGGUGUCGCUUGUAUUGCACUAUCUCAGGCAGACGCCGAAUCUCU
Molecule: non-coding RNA, 192 nt
Organism: Pneumocystis jirovecii
Lineage: Eukaryota; Fungi; Ascomycota; Pneumocystomycetes; Pneumocystales; Pneumocystaceae
Source: Rfam